GAGUUUGAUCAUGGCUCAGGAUGAACGCUAGCGGCAGGCUUAACACAUGCAAGUCGAGGGGUAGAGGAAGCUUGCUUCCUUGAGACCGGCGCACGGGUGCGUAACGCGUAUGCAAUCUACCUUGUACAGGGGGAUAGCCCAGAGAAAUUUGGAUUAAUACCCCAUAGUGUAAUGAAAUGGCAUCAUUUUAUUACUAAAGUUCCAACGGUACAAGAUGAGCAUGCGUCCCAUUAGCUAGUUGGUGUGGUAACGGCAUACCAAGGCAACGAUGGGUAGGGGUCCUGAGAGGGAGAUCCCCCACACUGGUACUGAGACACGGACCAGACACCUACGGGUGGCUGCAGUCGAGAAUCUUCGGCAAUGUGCGCAAGCACGACCGAGCGACGCCGCGUGUGCGAUGAAGG
Molecule: ribosomal RNA, 404 nt
Filed under: uncultured Flavobacterium sp.
Lineage: Bacteria; Pseudomonadati; Bacteroidota; Flavobacteriia; Flavobacteriales; Flavobacteriaceae
Description: bacterial SSU rRNA
Rfam family: Bacterial small subunit ribosomal RNA
Source: RNAcentral